RNA transcript from Oncorhynchus gorbuscha (pink salmon), 3278 nucleotides. It is a transcript of the gene named leucine-rich repeat-containing protein 3B-like, with no coding region annotated. NCBI's taxonomy places the organism in Eukaryota, Metazoa, Chordata, Actinopteri, Salmoniformes, Salmonidae. The record is from RefSeq and is a predicted model, not a curated record. The transcript is spliced from 2 exons.
GUGGGUUCAUGGGCACAGCAGAGCGCACAGCGCAGCAGUAACAAAUAGCCAUGUACUGUAGCAGGCUGUGUGUGUGUGUGUUGUGAGGAGAUGAUAUGCUUCGACGCCUGUGCCUGCGUUUGACGGCUCAUAUUCCAAUUUAAGCCGACAAGAAUAGGUUACCAAUUCCCCUGUGCCCCUCUUUAUAUUUACAGUCGUGUUAAUUUCUUCAACAACUAGAUAACGGGGAGCGGAGAGGCAACAACCAUCGGUAUUGAAUGUUGGUAAGCAGGCUCCAGUCCAUUGGGCUUUGACGCGGAUUCUCGGGCUGCGCUGCAUUGCUCGCGAGUACUGUAAUCGCAGCUGAGAUAUGGACGCUGUUCUGUGAAGCAUGCUGCACUGACAAAUGUUCUCCUCCCGGACAACAACAUCUGAAGUGUAUUCCUACAAUAACACUUCUAGGGGUUUUCUGACUGUGUAAUCCCUGCGCGCAGCGGCAAACCCCGUGAGACAAGUUCUUCUAUUGCACAAAGUUUAACCAUGUGAACGUCAAACCAAUGACUGGAGAGUAUCCAUCACCGUACUGAGGAGGAGGGAGGAGGAGGAAGAGGGAGGAAUCGAUAGAGGAUAACAGCACGAGGCCUUCCUUCGCUCGAUAAUUGCAAGUUCCCCCAUAUCACUUACUGGGAGGAUAGUCUAAUCUAAUGCAUUCAAAUGUUCUUCUUGUGGUCAGACAGUGAGUGCACAUUGUACACCAGGCCCUGUGGUUCGGCUGUAUUUUUGCUAUACUUUAACAGUGGGAAAUACGUUUCUUAUUGCAGGACUCAUAAGUAACUGAGAGAGUUAGUCAAUUGGGACCAGCACAUUGGUGGCAUGGCAGAGUUGCAACAUUUAUAUUCAAUACUCUCUUGGCCUAUGUAAUACUAAGUCGUUAGUAUUAUACAACAACAAAAAACGGAUGUAACUGAGUAAAUGAACUACUGAGUCUACUCUCGGUCACACACAUACACACGGGCGCACACUGUAGUACAAACACUAUAGUACAGUCAAACAGUACAGUAUAUCAAUCCAUUCCAUUUAGAUAGUGGGGUUCUGUAUCGUUUGGAAUUAGUGCUUGUCAAGUUAAUGGUGGUUGAGCCGCUCGUCAUUUUCUUUAUCAGGUUGUACCCCUCUCCUCCUUACGCAUUCAGCAGAACCCUAAUAAACCAGACUUCUUCUGAUCAACUCACACAGGGAAACUUACUGUAUCACGAUGACAUGCUGUGACAGGUACCACUAAUACGGUUGUUAUAUGGUUCACUCGGGCCUCCCAGACACUCGGCCAUCCCUCACCCUGACUCUGAGGAGACGGAGUGCGAGACACACUCCUUUUUAUUGAGCCGUGCUGCCUUUGUAAUGUGAAUUUAAGAGCCGCUCUUAGAUUAUGUCAUUUGUAAACCAGCCUAAGUGGAGUCUGUCUGGCCCAGAUAGAGCUCAUUUCCCAGAAGCUGAACGAACAGUACAUUAUGUUACAGUACAUUAUGUUACAGUACAUUAUGCCCGUAUGCAACAGGCCAAUCUGAUGGGAUGGGAGCCAGGUUGGAUAUAAAGAUGCCAGUUACUGUUUUAUGUCUUUUCAGUUAUCAUUCUUUUCUUUGACUCAGCUGGUUUUGUAAAUUGGUGAAUACUUUAGGAAUAAUAUAUGUUUCCAUUUUAACGUGCAGGAUUUACAAUUCCAUUUAACCAACAUACGACGAAUAAGAGCUCUCGGUUGUUAGACCUUUUAGGUCAGGGUUUUCCAAACUUUAUAUCCCGCCAGAUCGGCCUGUUGUGUACAGACAUAAUGUACUGUAGCUGUUCUCAUCAAGUUUUGAUUAUUUGAAUUCGGCUGUGCAGGGCAAAAAUCUAAACGUGCACCCAGGGAGUCCUCAGGACCGAGUUUGUGGAACGCCGCUCUAGGCUACAGUAGUGUUGCGGUGAAACUGUGAGCGUCCCGUCCAACUCAUACACUUUCUCUGGGGUUUUGUGUCAGUGAAGAAACACAUUCUAUGUGGCCUUUAGAGAAGAUUAGUAAGAUGAUACUGGACUGUGGCAUUUACUGCGCCUCAGCCUGCCUCAGACAGCGCUGCUCCAGAGUCUAUUACCUGAGUCGGGCAGAGUACCGAUGGGCCCGGAAACAUUACAUUGAUUGACUCAAAAUGUACUUCCACUAAAUGGCCCAAAGAGUACCUACUUACCGUUGCAGAUAUAGCCUACAUCCAAACAGACUUAGGCCUAGAUUCAAUUAGUUCCAACAUUAGGGCUCUAUUACAGCGUGAUUGAAAUGUUCCCGUGUUAGCGGAGACUACAUUCACGGUCAAUGUGCAUAUGUCGGAUCAAUCGGAAAGUACCUUCACUUUUCUAUCGCAACAAUCUGGAACGCCGCAGCGGUACUGAUUGAAUAGAGCCCUUAACUCGCGAUAACCGACAACUGCAUAGUAGUUUUAUUGCUUUUAUUUAGGCGAUGCUGGGGGUGUAACUGCGUUGGGGCUGUCGAAUCGGUGAGCGGCUGCCCUUGUCGUCAUUGUCACGAAACAAACACCUGUUCUUAAAUCCUACGUGUUAGACGUUCCGAACGAGAAAGUGUAGGCUAUAUAGAAAUGACACUCAUUCAAUGACUUCGACUACAUAAAAGAUAAUACUGCUAUGCAGUUGUCGGUUAUCGCGGGUUAAGGCGCGUCUGAUUGAAUCUAGCCCGUAGCCUACAUCCAAAACAGGGUUGGUGCUGUACAGUAGGUGCUAGAGGCCCAGAGAUAUUCACUCUGAAUCCAUUAGAGGCUGACAACACUUUGCCUUCUGAAAUAAGCAUGACCAUAUAUCUUUUGAGCGUCAAUCUCUCCAGUUCCACUGAAUCAGAGCAGGAUUAUGGUAAUGCCAAGUCACUCCACGGCAACAGUUGAAGUAGGACAAGAGAGAGAAAAAACAUGCCAAUCAAUGAGAGUUCCAUCUUACAUCACAGCACUGUCAGGAAGCACCUUAUCUGUAAUCUGUAUGCAAGUAUGACACCUUCGCUGAUCUCCAUCCCACUCCUCCUCUACACUACAGCUGUGUUUUGUCAUUUUCUGUUCGUCAGGACACAAGUGCCAAUUCAUUACAAUUAGCCCAGUCAAGAUCCAAGUGGGCCGAAAAUAACACCUGGCACUUGUAUGGCUAUUAGGACUGCUCACACAGAGAUGGUUCUGUGUUGCUUCUGCCACACUGAUAUUAGUGUCACUUGCAAUCACUUGUUGUCCUCGUUCCUUUUCUCCAUUAUUUUCUCUCUGACAUUUUUCCUCAUUGUC